CAGGGCGUAGCUACAACACAAAGCAUUCAGCUUACACCUGAAAGAUAUCUGCCACCCCAGAUCACCCUGAA
Molecule: transfer RNA, 71 nt
Filed under: Eupsittula aurea (peach-fronted parakeet)
Lineage: Eukaryota; Metazoa; Chordata; Aves; Psittaciformes; Psittacidae
Description: tRNA-Val
Source: RNAcentral